GCGGACGUAGCCCAACCUGGCAGAGGCAGCGGUCUUAGACGCCGCCCAGUGAGAGUUCGAAUCUCUCGGUCCGCA
Molecule: transfer RNA, 75 nt
Filed under: Sandaracinaceae bacterium LLY-WYZ-13_1
Lineage: Bacteria; Pseudomonadati; Myxococcota; Polyangiales; Sandaracinaceae
Description: tRNA-Leu
Rfam family: tRNA
About the family: Transfer RNA (tRNA) molecules are approximately 80 nucleotides in length. Their secondary structure includes four short double-helical elements and three loops (D, anti-codon, and T loops).
Source: RNAcentral